Molecule: ribosomal RNA, 2334 nt
Filed under: Escherichia coli
Lineage: Bacteria; Pseudomonadati; Pseudomonadota; Gammaproteobacteria; Enterobacterales; Enterobacteriaceae
Description: partial 23S ribosomal RNA
Rfam family: Bacterial large subunit ribosomal RNA
Source: RNAcentral
UUAUAUUCUGUAGCAAGGUUAACCGAAUAGGGGAGCCGAAGGGAAACCGAGUCUUAACCGGGCGUUAAGUUGCAGGGUAUAGACCCGAAACCCGGUGAUCUAGCCAUGGGCAGGUUGAAGGUUGGGUAACACUAACUGGAGGACCGAACCGACUAAUGUUGAAAAAUUAGCGGAUGACUUGUGGCUGGGGGUGAAAGGCCAAUCAAACCGGGAGAUAGCUGGUUCUCCCCGAAAGCUAUUUAGGUAGCGCCUCGUGAAUUCAUCUCCGGGGGUAGAGCACUGUUUCGGCAAGGGGGUCAUCCCGACUUACCAACCCGAUGCAAACUGCGAAUACCGGAGAAUGUUAUCACGGGAGACACACGGCGGGUGCUAACGUCCGUCGUGAAGAGGGAAACAACCCAGACCGCCAGCUAAGGUCCCAAAGUCAUGGUUAAGUGGGAAACGAUGUGGGAAGGCCCAGACAGCCAGGAUGUUGGCUUAGAAGCAGCCAUCAUUUAAAGAAAGCGUAAUAGCUCACUGGUCGAGUCGGCCUGCGCGGAAGAUGUAACGGGGCUAAACCAUGCACCGAAGCUGCGGCAGCGACACUGUGUGUUGUUGGGUAGGGGAGCGUUCUGUAAGCCUGUGAAGGUGUGCUGUGAGGCAUGCUGGAGGUAUCAGAAGUGCGAAUGCUGACAUAAGUAACGAUAAAGCGGGUGAAAAGCCCGCUCGCCGGAAGACCAAGGGUUCCUGUCCAACGUUAAUCGGGGCAGGGUGAGUCGACCCCUAAGGCGAGGCCGAAAGGCGUAGUCGAUGGGAAACAGGUUAAUAUUCCUGUACUUGGUGUUACUGCGAAGGGGGGACGGAGAAGGCUAUGUUGGCCGGGCGACGGUUGUCCCGGUUUAAGCGUGUAGGCUGGUUUUCCAGGCAAAUCCGGAAAAUCAAGGCUGAGGCGUGAUGACGAGGCACUACGGUGCUGAAGCAACAAAUGCCCUGCUUCCAGGAAAAGCCUCUAAGCAUCAGGUAACAUCAAAUCGUACCCCAAACCGACACAGGUGGUCAGGUAGAGAAUACCAAGGCGCUUGAGAGAACUCGGGUGAAGGAACUAGGCAAAAUGGUGCCGUAACUUCGGGAGAAGGCACGCUGAUAUGUAGGUGAAGUCCCUCGCGGAUGGAGCUGAAAUCAGUCGAAGAUACCAGCUGGCUGCAACUGUUUAUUAAAAACACAGCACUGUGCAAACACGAAAGUGGACGUAUACGGUGUGACGCCUGCCCGGUGCCGGAAGGUUAAUUGAUGGGGUCAGCGCAAGCGAAGCUCUUGAUCGAAGCCCCGGUAAACGGCGGCCGUAACUAUAACGGUCCUAAGGUAGCGAAAUUCCUUGUCGGGUAAGUUCCGACCUGCACGAAUGGCGUAAUGAUGGCCAGGCUGUCUCCACCCGAGACUCAGUGAAAUUGAACUCGCUGUGAAGAUGCAGUGUACCCGCGGCAAGACGGAAAGACCCCGUGAACCUUUACUAUAGCUUGACACUGAACAUUGAGCCUUGAUGUGUAGGAUAGGUGGGAGGCUUUGAAGUGUGGACGCCAGUCUGCAUGGAGCCGACCUUGAAAUACCACCCUUUAAUGUUUGAUGUUCUAACGUGGACCCGUGAUCCGGGUUGCGGACAGUGUCUGGUGGGUAGUUUGACUGGGGCGGUCUCCUCCUAAAGAGUAACGGAGGAGCACGAAGGUUGGCUAAUCCUGGUCGGACAUCAGGAGGUUAGUGCAAUGGCAUAAGCCAGCUUGACUGCGAGCGUGACGGCGCGAGCAGGUGCGAAAGCAGGUCAUAGUGAUCCGGUGGUUCUGAAUGGAAGGGCCAUCGCUCAACGGAUAAAAGGUACUCCGGGGAUAACAGGCUGAUACCGCCCAAGAGUUCAUAUCGACGGCGGUGUUUGGCACCUCGAUGUCGGCUCAUCACAUCCUGGGGCUGAAGUAGGUCCCAAGGGUAUGGCUGUUCGCCAUUUAAAGUGGUACGCGAGCUGGGUUUAGAACGUCGUGAGACAGUUCGGUCCCUAUCUGCCGUGGGCGCUGGAGAACUGAGGGGGGCUGCUCCUAGUACGAGAGGACCGGAGUGGACGCAUCACUGGUGUUCGGGUUGUCAUGCCAAUGGCACUGCCCGGUAGCUAAAUGCGGAAGAGAUAAGUGCUGAAAGCAUCUAAGCACGAAACUUGCCCCGAGAUGAGUUCUCCCUGACCCUUUAAGGGUCCUGAAGGAACGUUGAAGACGACGACGUUGAUAGGCCGGGUGUGUAAGCGCAGCGAUGCGUUGAGCUAACCGGUACUAAUGAACCGUGAGGCUUAACCUUACAACGCCGAAGGUGUUU